UGGCGGACGGCUGAGUAACGCGUAGGCAACCUGCCCAGUGGUGGGGGAUAACUCGCCGAAAGGUGAGCUAAUACCGCAUAAGUUUUCCGUUUGAAAUGGCGGUAAGGAAAGCAGCAAUGCGCCACUGGAGGGGCCUGCGUCCUAUCAGGUAGUUGGUGGGGUAACGGCCUACCAAGCCGAUGACGGGUAGCUGGUCUGAGAGGACGACCAGCCAGAAGGGGACUGAGACACGGCCCCU
This 238-nucleotide ribosomal RNA is filed under the name uncultured bacterium. RNAcentral describes it as "partial 16S ribosomal RNA". It matches the Rfam family "Bacterial small subunit ribosomal RNA", at positions 96 to 334 of the family's 1533-position model. The record is from RNAcentral.